RNAcentral lists this ribosomal RNA (406 nucleotides) under uncultured bacterium. RNAcentral describes it as "partial 16S ribosomal RNA". It matches the Rfam family "Bacterial small subunit ribosomal RNA", at positions 30 to 526 of the family's 1533-position model. The record is from RNAcentral.
AUUGAACGCUGGCGGCAGGCCUAACACAUGCAAGUCGAACGAGUGGCGGACGGGUGAGUAAUGUCUGGGAAACUGCCCGAUGGAGGGGGAUAACUACUGGAAACGGUAGCUAAUACCGCAUACAAUCGGAUGUGCCCAGAUGGGAUUAGCUUGUAGGUUAGGUAACGGCUCACCUAGGCGACGAGCCCUAGCUGGUCUGAGAGGAUGACCAGCGACACGGGUACUGAGCAACGGUCCAGAAUCCUACGGUAGGUAGUGGGGGGGAAUAUUGCACAAUGGGCGCAAGCGUUAUGCAUGCAUGCCGCGUGUAUGAAGAAGUCCUUCGGGUUGUAAAGUACUUUCAGCGGUGAGGCGUUACCCGCAGAAGAAGCACCGGCUAACUCCGUGCCAGCAGCCGCGGUAAUAC